RNAcentral lists this non-coding RNA (32 nucleotides) under Mus musculus (house mouse). The record is from RNAcentral. Lineage: Eukaryota; Metazoa; Chordata; Mammalia; Rodentia; Muridae.
UGUUUUUUUUCCACAUUAAACCCAUGCUGUGC